UUAAGCGACUAAGCGUACACGGUGGAUGCCCUGGCAGUCAGAGGCGAUGAAGGACGUGCUAAUCUGCGAUAAGCGUCGGUAAGGUGAUAUGAACCGUUAUAACCGGCGAUUUCCGAAUGGGGAAACCCAGUGUGAUUCGUCACACUAUCAUUAACUGAAUCCAUAGGUUAAUGAGGCGAACCGGGGGAACUGAAACAUCUAAGUACCCCGAGGAAAAGAAAUCAACCGAGAUUCCCCCAGUAGCGGCGAGCGAACGGGGAGCAGCCCAGAGCCUGAAUCAGUGUGUGUGUUAGUGGAAGCGUCUGGAAAGGCGCGCGAUACAGGGUGACAGCCCCGUACACAAAAAUGCACAUGCUGUGAGCUCGAUGAGUAGGGCGGGACACGUGGUAUCCUGUCUGAAUAUGGGGGGACCAUCCUCCAAGGCUAAAUACUCCUGACUGACCGAUAGUGAACCAGUACCGUGAGGGAAAGGCGAAAAGAACCCCGGCGAGGGGAGUGAAAAAGAACCUGAAACCGUGUACGUACAAGCAGUGGGAGCACAGAGCAAUCUGUGUGACUGCGUACCUUUUGUAUAAUGGGUCAGCGACUUAUAUUCUGUAGCAAGGUUAACCGAAUAGGGGAGCCGAAGGGAAACCGAGUCUUAACUGGGCGUUAAGUUGCAGGGUAUAGACCCGAAACCCGGUGAUCUAGCCAUGGGCAGGUUGAAGGUUGGGUAACACUAACUGGAGGACCGAACCGACUAAUGUUGAAAAAUUAGCGGAUGACUUGUGGCUGGGGGUGAAAGGCCAAUCAAACCGGGAGAUAGCUGGUUCUCCCCGAAAGCUAUUUAGGUAGCGCCUCGUGAAUUCAUCUCCGGGGGUAGAGCACUGUUUCGGCAAGGGGGUCAUCCCGACUUACCAACCCGAUGCAAACUGCGAAUACCGGAGAAUGUUAUCACGGGAGACACACGGCGGGUGCUAACGUCCGUCGUGAAGAGGGAAACAACCCAGACCGCCAGCUAAGGUCCCAAAGUCAUGGUUAAGUGGGAAACGAUGUGGGAAGGCCCAGACAGCCAGGAUGUUGGCUUAGAAGCAGCCAUCAUUUAAAGAAAGCGUAAUAGCUCACUGGUCGAGUCGGCCUGCGCGGAAGAUGUAACGGGGCUAAACCAUGCACCGAAGCUGCGGCAGCGACGCUUAUGCGUUGUUGGGUAGGGGAGCGUUCUGUAAGCCUGUGAAGGUGUACUGUGAGGUAUGCUGGAGGUAUCAGAAGUGCGAAUGCUGACAUAAGUAACGAUAAAGCGGGUGAAAAGCCCGCUCGCCGGAAGACCAAGGGUUCCUGUCCAACGUUAAUCGGGGCAGGGUGAGUCGACCCCUAAGGCGAGGCCGAAAGGCGUAGUCGAUGGGAAACAGGUUAAUAUUCCUGUACUUGGUGUUACUGCGAAGGGGGGACGGAGAAGGCUAUGUUGGCCGGGCGACGGUUGUCCCGGUUUAAGCGUGUAGGCUGGUUUUCCAGGCAAAUCCGGAAAAUCAAGGCUGAGGCGUGAUGACGAGGCACUACGGUGCUGAAGCAACAAAUGCCCUGCUUCCAGGAAAAGCCUCUAAGCAUCAGGUAACAUCAAAUCGUACCCCAAACCGACACAGGUGGUCAGGUAGAGAAUACCAAGGCGCUUGAGAGAACUCGGGUGAAGGAACUAGGCAAAAUGGUGCCGUAACUUCGGGAGAAGGCACGCUGAUAUGUAGGUGAAGUCCCUCGCGGAUGGAGCUGAAAUCAGUCGAAGAUACCAGCUGGCUGCAACUGUUUAUUAAAAACACAGCACUGUGCAAACACGAAAGUGGACGUAUACGGUGUGACGCCUGCCCGGUGCCGGAAGGUUAAUUGAUGGGGUUAGCGCAAGCGAAGCUCUUGAUCGAAGCCCCGGUAAACGGCGGCCGUAACUAUAACGGUCCUAAGGUAGCGAAAUUCCUUGUCGGGUAAGUUCCGACCUGCACGAAUGGCGUAAUGAUGGCCAGGCUGUCUCCACCCGAGACUCAGUGAAAUUGAACUCGCUGUGAAGAUGCAGUGUACCCGCGGCAAGACGGAAAGACCCCGUGAACCUUUACUAUAGCUUGACACUGAACAUUGAGCCUUGAUGUGUAGGAUAGGUGGGAGGCUUUGAAGUGUGGACGCCAGUCUGCAUGGAGCCGACCUUGAAAUACCACCCUUUAAUGUUUGAUGUUCUAACGUUGACCCGUAAUCCGGGUUGCGGACAGUGUCUGGUGGGUAGUUUGACUGGGGCGGUCUCCUCCUAAAGAGUAACGGAGGAGCACGAAGGUUGGCUAAUCCUGGUCGGACAUCAGGAGGUUAGUGCAAUGGCAUAAGCCAGCUUGACUGCGAGCGUGACGGCGCGAGCAGGUGCGAAAGCAGGUCAUAGUGAUCCGGUGGUUCUGAAUGGAAGGGCCAUCGCUCAACGGAUAAAAGGUACUCCGGGGAUAACAGGCUGAUACCGCCCAAGAGUUCAUAUCGACGGCGGUGUUUGGCACCUCGAUGUCGGCUCAUCACAUCCUGGGGCUGAAGUAGGUCCCAAGGGUAUGGCUGUUCGCCAUUUAAAGUGGUACGCGAGCUGGGUUUAGAACGUCGUGAGACAGUUCGGUCCCUAUCUGCCGUGGGCGCUGGAGAAUUGAGGGGGGCUGCUCCUAGUACGAGAGGACCGGAGUGGACGCAUCACUGGUGUUCGGGUUGUCAUGCCAAUGGCACUGCCCGGUAGCUAAAUGCGGAAGAGAUAAGUGCUGAAAGCAUCUAAGCACGAAACUUGCCCCGAGAUGAGUUCUCCCUGACUCCUUGAGAGUCCUGAAGGAACGUUGAAGACGACGACGUUGAUAGGCCGGGUGUGUAAGCGCAGCGAUGCGUUGAGCUAACCGGUACUAAUGAACCGUGAGGCUUAACCU
This 2903-nucleotide ribosomal RNA is filed under the name Escherichia coli. Its description in RNAcentral is "23S ribosomal RNA". It matches the Rfam family "Bacterial large subunit ribosomal RNA". The record is from RNAcentral. Lineage: Bacteria; Pseudomonadati; Pseudomonadota; Gammaproteobacteria; Enterobacterales; Enterobacteriaceae.